This 253-nucleotide ribosomal RNA is filed under the name uncultured bacterium. Its description in RNAcentral is "partial 16S ribosomal RNA". It matches the Rfam family "Bacterial small subunit ribosomal RNA", at positions 524 to 776 of the family's 1533-position model. The record is from RNAcentral.
UACGAAGGGGGCUAGCGUUGUUCGGAAUCACUGGGCGUAAAGGGCGCGUAGGCGGCUUUAUAAGUCGGGGGUGAAAGCCUGUGGCUCAACCACAGAAUUGCCUUCGAUACUGUAGAGCUUGAGACCGGAAGAGGUAAGUGGAACUGCGAGUGUAGAGGUGAAAUUCGUAGAUAUUCGCAAGAACACCAGUGGCGAAGGCGGCUUACUGGUCCGGUCCUGACGCUGAGGCGCGAAAGCGUGGGGAGCAAACAGG